This 548-nucleotide ribosomal RNA is filed under the name uncultured bacterium. RNAcentral describes it as "partial 16S ribosomal RNA". It matches the Rfam family "Bacterial small subunit ribosomal RNA", at positions 355 to 895 of the family's 1533-position model. The record is from RNAcentral.
UGGGGAAUUUUGGACAAUGGGCGAAAGCCUGAUCCAGCAAUGCCGCGUGUGUGAAGAAGGCCUUCGGGUUGUAAAGCACUUUUGUCCGGAAAGAGAUCCUUGGCUCUAAUACAGUCGGGGGAUGACGGUACCGGAAGAAUAAGCACCGGCUAACUACGUGCCAGCAGCCGCGGUAAUACGUAGGGUGCAAGCGUUAAUCGGAAUUACUGGGCGUAAAGCGUGCGCAGGCGGUUUGCUAAGACCGAUGUGAAAUCCCCGGGCUCAACCUGGGAACUGCAUUGGUGACUGGCAGGCUAGAGUAUGGCAGAGGGGGGUAGAAUUCCACGUGUAGCAGUGAAAUGCGUAGAGUGUGGAGGAAUACCGAUGCGAAGGCAGCCCCCUGGGCCAAUACUGACGCUCAUGCACGAAAGCGUGGGGAGCAAACAGGAUUAGAUACCCUGGUAGUCCACGCCCUAAACGAUGUCAACUAGUUGUUGGGGGAUUCAUUUCCCUUAGUAACGUAGCUAACGCGUGAAGUUGGACCGCCUGGGGAGUACGGUCGCAAGNUU